AUCUAUAACCAUACUAACCUGAGUGCAACGGAUCCCAUCUGAUCUUGGAAGCUAAGAAGGGUUGGGCCUGGUUAGUACUUGAAUGAGAGGAAUACCCUUGAGUAACACAGAUCUAGAUA
This 119-nucleotide ribosomal RNA is filed under the name Carlito syrichta (Philippine tarsier). The record is from RNAcentral. Lineage: Eukaryota; Metazoa; Chordata; Mammalia; Primates; Tarsiidae.